CCAGAUUGGGACAGAGGGAAUCAGCAUAAUUUUUUGUGGUGCAUUUACUUGAUUGGUGCUUGGGGAUGUUUGAGGCAGAUUUGUUUCCGUCGUUUUGAGGCCAGCUUGCUGGUACCCAAACGGUGUUAGCAUUUUUUGUCUUGGGCAUUUGAGUAUGGCUCACGUGUAUUUAUUGGACAGAUCUGAGUGUAAGUUACGGUCGCAUGCGACACGUGCUUUUCAAUUAGUUCGGUCCAGUUAAUGCUCUCGUACUCGUUCCCCAUGUAAAAGCCGGUCAUCUAUCCGACCCGUCUUGAAACACGGACCAAGGAGUUUAUCGUGUGCGCAAGUUUUUGGGUGUUAAAAACUUAAAAGCGAAAUGAAAGUAAAUGACUCUUUAGAGUCUGAUGUGCGAUCUUGUAAAAAAGUGUAGCAUGGCCCCAUUCUAACUGUUUACAGUAGGGUGGCGGAAGAGCGUACGCGGUGAGACCCGAAAGAUGGUGAACUAUUCCUGAGCAGGACGAAGCCAGAGGAAACUCUGGUGGAAGUCCGAAGCGGUUCUG
This 542-nucleotide ribosomal RNA is filed under the name Meloidogyne javanica (root-knot nematode). RNAcentral describes it as "LSU rRNA". It matches the Rfam family "Eukaryotic large subunit ribosomal RNA", at positions 453 to 888 of the family's 3401-position model. Lineage: Eukaryota; Metazoa; Nematoda; Chromadorea; Rhabditida; Meloidogynidae. The record is from RNAcentral.